This is a non-coding RNA of Pelobates cultripes (western spadefoot toad), 209 nucleotides long. Lineage: Eukaryota; Metazoa; Chordata; Amphibia; Anura; Pelobatidae. The record is from the annotation of a GenBank genome assembly.
GUCCAUCAUGGAAAAAAGCAGAGAACUAAAAAAGGGGACAUUCAACAAAGUAUAAACAUUUCAGUAGGAAUGGUUUACAAUGGUUAUUAACUGAAAGCCUGAGAAGUAUAAGAGUGAUUUAAAAAACUUCAGAAAUUCAGACAAGUGACGGAUCUGCUUUAAUCAAGUGUGAUGAGAUGCCCAAAGGCUUCAUGGAAGAAAACUUGUUG